ACGUGCUGGGAGCCCGGGUCGCGGCAGGACCCACGCACCGGCUAAGUGCUAGCCAUUCGCGGGUCUCCUCUCGCGGCCCGGUCGGCACCAAGCCGAAGAGGCCGGGGCAGGGCCGCCGGGCCGGCGCAAGGAUGCGUUCUGCGGCCCCGGCCUGUACUCGCCGCUCACACGCCCCCUGCGCGCCAGGCCCGUACACCGCCACCGGCACUCACAGAGCCACCCGGCCUUCACCCGGCCGCUGGGCCGCCGCCUGGGCACCGCGCCGCGCCCGCCCUCCGCCCGGCCGGUUCCUGUCCUCUCCGCCACAUCCUGACCCGCCCGCCGCCCCCUUUCUUACCGGCGGGCUUGGCGGGGCGGAGGGAGCCGACUCGGGUGGACGGCCUCCCCCGCGCCCAGGCCCGGGAUCUCCGCCGCCCAGUCCUAGGGCUCCGGCGUCUCGGGGUAAGCAAGAGUCCGUGCGGGGGAGGGGGAAGGGGACAGACGCGGAGGGGAAGGGGAAGCCCCGGUCCGCAGCACCAACGCGCGAUCCCCUGCGGAGUGGAGCUAACAAUUCAUUAUUGAAGCACCAAGGGCGAGGGCAGCAAGAGCUAUAAGUAACCAGUCGUCGCCGCCGCCGCCGCCGCCGUCGCGCGCGCGCUCCCGCUCCCUCCGCUUAUCUGCCCCCGGCAGCCGCCAUGACGCCGAGAAAGCAAGCGAGCGCAACCGUCUCCGUCGUAGCCGCCGCCGCCACCGAGGUCGCCGUCGCCUCCGCCUCCCGCGCGACGUAAGCGCCUCUGCUCACUCCCCUUCCCGACAGAGCGCGAGGCGGGCGGGCGCGCGCACGCCGAAGCCUUUCUGCUCGCGCGCGGGAGGCGGGAGGGACUACGUUGAAGGGUCGUGGGCGUAGGAAAAAAGCGAUUGGUGCUGGGGCGGGGCGGGGGGGGCGAGUGCGCGCACGCGCACGAAUGGGAGUGCGCACGGCGGAUGCGCAGAGGCUGUCGGACUCUGACUGCGCGGAGACCGCUGGACUCUGGUCGCGGCCUUAGUCCGCUGAUCCUCGCUUGGGUGCCCGCCCUUAGCGGCCCGGCGUUGAAUUCCGGGAAGUGGGAGCUUCAGGCUCGCUCCGUGCGGGUAUGGGCGCUAAUGUCACUUGGGAUGGUUGCGCAAGGACAUCGCGGCGGACACUGACAAGGAACCGGGGAGGAACGGGGGUGGGGAGAGACUGCGAUGGGACUCGGGAAGCCGGGAAGGGCCGCGCUGAAUAAGCCUAAGGGGCCGGGUCGCAAGGAGUGUCGGGUAGCACAGGCCUCGGCUCAGUCGGAGCGCCAGGCCUCAGGGUCCGGGCGGGGGCUGCUGCGUCACACCAGGCAGCCUGGGAACGCAACUGUUGGGCAACCGUGGUGGCCUCUCGCCACCUCUUACGCUUGGGCGAUCUGCGAUUGACGCAUCCUGGGAGCUGAUGUCCCGCACGGGCGGGGCGCCGGAGGAGGAGAGAAAAUAGAGACCCGGUUGUUGACAGCCUGUGAUGCCGCUUGAUUCAUGUGUGGGUGGCCUGGUUUAGAAAUGUACCACCCUUCCUUUCUAGGUUCCUCCCCGGAGGGCGGGGUGACGGGUGCGGCGCCGAAUCGCAACAAAAAACGCUGCUCGAGGGAUGUUAGUAACUGUCUCAGCUUAAGUUGCUGCCUUUUAGCUUACAGUUUGUAUCGUAACUGUAAUUGUGGAUCUUAGUUAAAUCCCUUCAGUGUGUUGGAAACAUAUUUUUAAGUGUAUUUUUGAAACAUACUUAGAGCAUUUUGAAAUGCUUUUUUGAAAGCGUUUUUUAAAUCAAAAUUCUGUUACACUUUAUUUUUUUCAGUCUGCAGAUGAACUUGACUCACUCAAGGUUAAUGAUUUUUGUUUUUUAUUUAUGUUUGUAGAGGCGGGGUUUUGUCAUGUUGCUAGGUUGGUGUUGAACUCCUGAGCUCGAGCGAUCCACCUGCCACUGCCUUCCAAAGUGCUGGAAUUACAGGCGUGAGCCACGGCGCCCGGUGGCCGAGGUUAAUAAUAAUUAAAAGUUUCUAAUCCCAUUGUUCAGUUAUUUGAUUUGGUGUAAAGGCGCACUUUCCAAGUCAGAUGAGUUUGUGGUAACAUACAUUCCCCAAAUAAUUAUUUUUCCCUUGUGGGAAAUAUUCCAGUUUUAGGCUACCAGCUGUUUAAACAGUUUGGUUCAAAUCCUUCAAAAAAAUCUCAAAACAUAACUCCACAUAUGUAUUUACUACAUAUUGAAGGGUGUAUUCACUUGGAGAAGUAGGAGAAAGCAAACAGAUGCCAAUGGCCUUUUUGAAAACAUGUAUCUAUCAGCAAUAAUUGAAUAGCAAAACGAAGUGGAACACUACCAUCCUUUGCAAUAUUAGAUAGUUUUAAUACUGGGUUGUGAGGAAUGAAAAGAUCAUACAAAUCGUCAUUUCUGAAGUCAUUUCUGAAGUCGUCAUUUCUGAACUGAGUGCUAAUUUUUCAUAUUAAGCUUUAUGUUAAUAUCCUUAAUGAGAGGAACUUCCUGUGCCCGUAAUUUCUCCAGAGAAACUAUUAACAUACACAGAAUGUUGUAAUCAGAAGUAUAGUUCAGUUAAUAAAGUCCUCAAUUACAACUCUGACAUUUUGUCAUUGUCUUAUGAAAAGAAUUACUGUAUAUACAGUCUAUUUUACGUUUUCCGGAAGCACGUCAGGCAGGUUUUUUGUUUUUUUACUACUAAUUGUGCCAUUGAAUAUGCUAUUCUGUCGUAUUGUGCCAUCAAACAUGCUAUUCGAAAAAAGAUCUUGCCCAAUUUGUAAUAAAAUAUUGAACAUUGGAGAUUUAGAUUUCGAGUAAAAUCAUACUUUAUUGCUUUGCAGAAGUACACAGUAGGUGGAAAAUUGCAACAA
This 2880-nucleotide long non-coding RNA is filed under the name Homo sapiens (human). RNAcentral's name for it is "non-protein coding LINC02062:20". The record is from RNAcentral. Lineage: Eukaryota; Metazoa; Chordata; Mammalia; Primates; Hominidae.